Raphanus sativus (radish) is the source of this 832-nucleotide long non-coding RNA. RefSeq lists it as uncharacterized. NCBI's taxonomy places the organism in Eukaryota, Viridiplantae, Streptophyta, Magnoliopsida, Brassicales, Brassicaceae. The transcript is spliced from 5 exons. The record is from RefSeq and is a predicted model, not a curated record.
GCAGUUGAAUCAGCGUUGUCUGUGUAUCUGGAGCACCUUGCUACGACCUUGGGAUCUCGCGAACAAUUGGCAAUUGCUGAAUUUGCAGAUGCGCUGUUGAUCAUACCAAAGGUGCUCGCAGUAAACGCUGCUAAGGAUGCAACUGAGUUGGUAGCUAAACUAAGAGCUUACCACCACACCGCACAAACCAAGGCUGAUAAGAAGCACUAUUCAAGCAUGGGACUUGACCUUGUAAACGGAACCAUCCGUAACAAUUUGGAAGCUGGAGUGAUCGAACCAGCGAUGAGCAAAGUUAAAAUUAUCCAGCAAAGGAAAUGACACAAAAACCCGGGAGGUUCCUUCCUUCGACUCAGAUAUGUUGUCACUUCUCACAAGAGAACCGGAGAUUCAUGAACAUCCACCUCGAAUAUUCCUGGCCGUUCCUAUGUAAAAGAGUCAGUAGUGCGUUAAGGAUGUAAUUCUCUGACAAUAUAUCCUUACCUUAGAAGCCAUGUAAGAGUCCAGAACCAAGACUUGAGGACAUUGACAAACAGAAGCUACUGUUAGACUGCGAAACCAUAUGUUCUUGUAAGAGUAUGUAGGUUUAGAUCAGAUGGAAGAAGUUAUAUUAUAGGACAUAGUUUUUGAGGCCAUUUCAUAGCUUCUUACAUAUUAUAGGACAUAGUUCUUGAAGCAGUUAUACCUAUGAGGGCAUUUUAUUUAUCACUAGGGUCGGCCCGUCCUACGGGUGGGAUAAAUUUAUUUAUAGUCUAGGUUAUUUUUUAUGCAUGACUUUGUGAUUUUUGUUUUACGUUUGUAUUUGAAAGUGAUGUGUAUGAUAAUGAUUUUUGUA